CCCCUCUACUUUAUAACUAGUGCUUCAGAACCUGUAUCUGUCAAAUCUUGUUCCUUUCAUCUAUUUGCUUCGCUCAAUAUUCUAUCCUUCACCAUAGUUAAAGUUAGUUUGUCAUUGAUAGUGGAAUUACUUAGUGUCACUACUAAUAUCUCUCAACUAUCUAGUAAGAAACUUAGCAAAAGCAAUGCUUACACCUCAUCAUCAAGAAGCAACUUUAUCGUAGUCAACCAAUUCAGGAUCUUCUGGAAAUUAUUCAAGUGCUCUGAAAUAUUCUGUCUAUCUUAUACUUCAAGUUUAUCAGUUUUCUGAUUAGAUAUGCUUUAUUCUGUGCAUUCUUUCGCUGAUACAAAUCCCUCAGCUUCUUUCAGACAUGGUAAGCAUCCGUUCCUAUCGCAACAUCAUGGAUCACACUCGCAUUAAUCUACUAUCCAAUCAUAGCCAUGGCUUUUCUAUUCAAUUUUUUCCACUCAUUAGCUUUUAUAUUAUCUGACAUUUUUUCUAUAAUUUAAUCCGCUCAAAUAAAUUUCAACAAUAUAAUAAAUCCUUCAUUAUUAUCCUCCACAAGGAAUAAUUAGAUGAAUUUAAUUUAACAAUACUGGAUUUAUCCUUUAUUUUAACUAACAGAAACGACACUGACUGUCUAACCACGGCUCUGAUACUGGGAGUUGGGGUGAAAGAGUCACAAACAUAAUUAUAUCCAAGAUAAAUUCUAUCUUCUGUGCUAAUUAAAACAGGCAGUAACUCAAUAAUAUCAAAUCCAGCA
RNAcentral lists this long non-coding RNA (763 nucleotides) under Elaeis guineensis (African oil palm). RNAcentral's name for it is "long non-coding RNA (EGUI_LNC006131)". The record is from RNAcentral. Lineage: Eukaryota; Viridiplantae; Streptophyta; Magnoliopsida; Arecales; Arecaceae.